AACCGACACAGGUGGUCAGGUAGAGAAUACCAAGGCGCUUGAGAGAACUCGGGUGAAGGAACUAGGCAAAAUGGUGCCGUAACUUCGGGAGAAGGCACGCUGACACGUAGGUGAAGUGAUUUACUCAUGGAGCUGAAGUCAGUCGAAGAUACCAGCUGGCUGCAACUGUUUAUUAAAAACACAGCACUGUGCAAACACGAAAGUGGACGUAUACGGUGUGACGCCUGCCCGGUGCCGGAAGGUUAAUUGAUGGGG
RNAcentral lists this ribosomal RNA (255 nucleotides) under Salmonella enterica subsp. enterica serovar Infantis. RNAcentral's name for it is "partial 23S ribosomal RNA". It matches the Rfam family "Bacterial large subunit ribosomal RNA", at positions 1652 to 1889 of the family's 2925-position model. The record is from RNAcentral. RNAcentral also lists the same sequence under 21 other names. Lineage: Bacteria; Pseudomonadati; Pseudomonadota; Gammaproteobacteria; Enterobacterales; Enterobacteriaceae.